RNAcentral lists this long non-coding RNA (634 nucleotides) under Nicotiana tabacum (common tobacco). RNAcentral describes it as "long non-coding RNA (NTAB_LNC013767)". Lineage: Eukaryota; Viridiplantae; Streptophyta; Magnoliopsida; Solanales; Solanaceae. The record is from RNAcentral.
UGAGAAGGAGCAGAAAGGAAAAAAAGAAACACGUAUAUUCUUCAGAAUCUGGUUUGGCUUGAAUAAGAGAGAGAUCAUAAAAACUGCUAUUGGCUCUUUUGCAGCAGCUUUUGCAGGAAUCUCUAAACCUGUUUUUGGAUUCUAUGUCAUUACAAUAGGAGUGGCAUAUUACAAUCCUGAUUCAAAGGAGAAAGUAGCUCGGUAUUCAGUAAUAUUUACCUCAAUAGGACUGCUUUCUCUGUUUGCCCACACUUUGCAACAUUACUUAUUCGGAGUAGCUGGAGAGAAGGCCAUGACAAACCUCAGGCAAGCUUUGUACACCGGUAGGUACUUACAGUGCUCCUCCGUAUCAGAUCAAUCAAUCUGUCUGCUUCUUAUUGCUUCGUCCUGCAUCAACUUUUUAUGACAUUCCAAAAAUUGUUUUUCAGCCGCACUACGUAAUGAAUUGGCUUGGUUUGAAAAUCCCGAAAACAGUAUUGGACCACUUACCUCCAGGAUAGUCAAUGAAACAUCCACAGUCAAGACAAUAAUAGCUGAUCGCAUGUCUGUCAUUGUCCAGUGCAUCUCCUCCAUACUUAUAGCAACAACUGUUAGUAUGAAAGUUAACUGGAGAAUGGGUCUGGUGGCUUGGGCU